GUAGGGAAUAUUGCGCAAUGGACGAAAGUCUGACGCAGCGACGCCGCGUGAGUGAUGAAGGCCUUAGGGUCGUAAGGCUCUGUUGAAUGGGAAGAAAAAAAUGACGGUACCAUUCGAGGAAGGACCGGCUAACUUCGUGCCAGCAGCCGCGGUAAUACGAGGGGUCCUAGCGUUGUUCGGAAUCAUUGGGCGUAAAGGGUGUGUAGGUGGCCAUGUAAGUCAGGUGUGAAAGCCCCGGGCUCAACCCGGGAAGUGCACUUGAUACUGCGUGGCUUGAGUACCGAAGAGGGUAGUGGAAUUCCAGGUGUAGUGGUGAAAUACGUAGAUAUCUGGAGGAACACCGGUGGCGAAGGCGGCUACCUGGUCGAGUACUGACACUGAGACACGAAAGCAUGGGGAUCAAACAGGAUUAGAAACCCCAGUAGUCC
This 428-nucleotide ribosomal RNA is filed under the name uncultured bacterium. RNAcentral's name for it is "partial 16S ribosomal RNA". It matches the Rfam family "Bacterial small subunit ribosomal RNA", at positions 354 to 796 of the family's 1533-position model. The record is from RNAcentral.